AGUGAACGCUGGCGGUAGGCCUAACACAUGCAAGUCGAACGGCAGCACAGAGGAGCUUGCUCCUUGGGUGGCGAGUGGCGGACGGGUGAGGAAUACAUCGGAAUCUACUCUGUCGUGGGGGAUAACGUAGGGAAACUUACGCUAAUACCGCAUACGACCUACGGGUGAAAGCAGGGGACCUUCGGGCCUUGCGCGAUUGAAUGAGCCGAUGUCGGAUUAGCUAGUUGGCGGGGUAAAGGCCCACCAAGGAGACGAUCCGUAGCUGGUCUGAGAGGAUGAUCAGCCACACUGGAACUGAGCCACGGUCCAGACUCCUACGGGAGGCAGCAGUGGGGAAUAUUGGACAAUGGGCGCAAGCCUGAUCCAGCCAUACCGCGUGGGUGAAGAAGGCCUUCGGGUUGUAAAGCCCUUUUGUUGGGAAAGAAAUCCAGCUGGCUAAUACCCGGUUGGGAUGACGGUACCCAAAGAAUAAGCACCGGCUAACUUCGUGCCAGCCGCCGCGGUAA
Molecule: ribosomal RNA, 506 nt
Filed under: uncultured bacterium
Lineage: Bacteria
Description: partial 16S ribosomal RNA
Rfam family: Bacterial small subunit ribosomal RNA
Source: RNAcentral